Molecule: ribosomal RNA, 489 nt
Filed under: uncultured bacterium
Lineage: Bacteria
Description: bacterial SSU rRNA
Rfam family: Bacterial small subunit ribosomal RNA
Source: RNAcentral
AUUGAACGCUGGCGGCAUGCUCUACACAUGCAAGUCGGACGGCAGCACAGGGAAGCUUGCUUCUUGGGUGGCGAGUGGCGAACGGGUGAGUAACAUAUCGGAACGUACCGAGCAGUGGGGGAUAACUAAUCGAAAGAUUAGCUAAUACCGCAUAUAUUCUGAGGAAGAAAGCAGGGGACCAUUUGGCCUUGCGCUGUUUGAGCGGCCGAUAUCUGAUUAGCUAGUUGGUGGGGUAAAGGCCUACCAAGGCGACGAUCAGUAGCGGGUCUGAGAGGAUGAUCCGCCACACUGGGACUGAGACACGGCCCAGACUCCUACGGGAGGCAGCAGUGGGGAAUUUUGGACAAUGGGCGCAAGCCUGAUCCAGCCAUGCCGCGUGUCUGAAGAAGGCCUUCGGGUUGUAAAGGACUUUUGUCAGGGAAGAAAAGGGCGGGGUUAAUACCCCUGUCUGAUGACGGUACCUGAAGAAUAAGCACCGGCUACUCUCCU